GUAGGUGGCAAGCGUUGUCCGGAAUUAUGGGCGUAAAGCGCGCGCAGGCGGGGUCCUUUAAGUCUGAUGUGAAAGCCCACGGGCUCAACCGUGGAGGGUCAUUGGAAACUGGGGGACUUGAGUACAGAAGAGGAAAGCGGAAUUCCAAGUGUAGCGGUGAAAUGCGUAGAGAUUUGGAGGAACACCAGUGGCGAAGGCGGCUUUCUGGUCUGUAACUGACGCUGAGGCGCGAAAGCGUGGGGAGCAAACAGGAUUAGAUACCCUGGUAGUCCACGCCGUAAACGAUGAGUGCUAAGUGUUAGGGGGUUUCCGCCCCUUAGUGCUGCAGCUAACGCAUUAAGCACUCCGCCUGGGGAGUACGGCCGCAAAGGCUG
RNAcentral lists this ribosomal RNA (374 nucleotides) under uncultured organism. Its description in RNAcentral is "partial 16S ribosomal RNA". It matches the Rfam family "Bacterial small subunit ribosomal RNA", at positions 527 to 896 of the family's 1533-position model. The record is from RNAcentral.